AACGCGAAGAACCUUACCUGGGCUCGAAGCACAGUGGACCGGGGUAGAAAUAUCCCUUUUCGCAAGAACUGCUGUGGAGGUGCUGCAUGGCUGUCGUCAGCUCGUGUCGUGAGAUGUUGGGUUAAGUCCCGCAACGAGCGCAACCCUUAUCGUUAGUUGCCAGCGGGUCAAGCCGGGCACUCUAGCGAAACCGCCUCGGAUAACGGGGAGGAAGGUGGGGAUGACGUCAAGUCCUCAUGGCCUUUAUGUCCAGGGCUACAAGCGUGCUACAAUGGAUUGCACAAAGGGUCGCAAACUCGCGAGAGCCAGCUAAUCCCAAAAAGCAAUCCUCAGUUCGGAUCGGAGUCUGCAACUCGACUCCGUGAAGUUGGAAUCGCUAGUAAUCGCGGAUCAGAACGCCGCGGUGAAUACGUUCCCGGGCCUUGUACACACCGACUGUAC
RNAcentral lists this ribosomal RNA (441 nucleotides) under uncultured bacterium. RNAcentral describes it as "bacterial SSU rRNA". It matches the Rfam family "Bacterial small subunit ribosomal RNA", at positions 958 to 1399 of the family's 1533-position model. The record is from RNAcentral.